CAGUAGCCGCGGUAAUACGGAGGGUGCAAGCGUUAAUCGGAAUUACUGGGCGUAAAGCGCACGCAGGCGGUCUGACAAGUCAGAUGUGAAAUUCCCGGGCUUAACCUGGGAACUGCAUUUGAAACUGUCAGGCUGGAGUCUUGUAGAGGGGGGUGGAAUUCCAGGUGUAGCGGUGAAAUGCGUAGAGAUCUGGAGGAAUACCGGUGGCGAAGGCGGCCCCCUGGACAAAGACUGACGCUCAGGUGCGAAAGCGUGGGGAGCAAACAGGAUUAGAUACCCGCGUAGUCCCUGUCUCUUAUAC
Molecule: ribosomal RNA, 301 nt
Filed under: uncultured bacterium
Lineage: Bacteria
Description: partial 16S ribosomal RNA
Rfam family: Bacterial small subunit ribosomal RNA
Source: RNAcentral